This 551-nucleotide ribosomal RNA is filed under the name uncultured Paraglomus. Its description in RNAcentral is "SSU rRNA". It matches the Rfam family "Eukaryotic small subunit ribosomal RNA", at positions 548 to 1103 of the family's 1831-position model. The record is from RNAcentral. Lineage: Eukaryota; Fungi; Glomeromycota; Glomeromycetes; Paraglomerales; Paraglomeraceae.
UUGGAGGGCAAGUCUGGUGCCAGCAGCCGCGGUAAUUCCAGCUCCAAUAGCGUAUAUUAAAGUUGUUGCAGUUAAAAAGCUCGUAGUUGAAUUUCAGGCCUGGCUGGACGGUCCGCCCUUCGGGUGAGUACUGUCUGUGGUCGGGUCCUACCUUCUGGCGAAGCGUCAUGGCCUUAACCGGCCGUGGCGGGGAACCAGGACUUUUACUGUGAAAAAAUUAGAGUGUUCAAAGCAGGCAAUCGCUUGGAUACAUUAGCAUGGAAUAAUGGAAUAGGACAAUGGUUCUAUUUGUUGGUUUCUAGGACCGUUGUAAUGAUUAAUAGGGAUAGUUGGGGGCAUUAGUAUUCAAUUGUCAGAGGUGAAAUUCUUGGAUUUAUUGAAGACUAACUACUGCGAAAGCAUUUGCCAAGGAUGUUUUCAUUAAUCAAGAACGAAAGUUAGGGGACCGAAGACGAUCAGAUACCGUCGUAGUCUUAACCAUAAACUAUGCCGACUAGGGAUCGGGCGAUGUUGUUUCCAUGACUCGCUCGGCACCUUAUGGGAAACCAAAG